RNAcentral lists this long non-coding RNA (3642 nucleotides) under Homo sapiens (human). RNAcentral describes it as "non-protein coding LINC00337:6". Lineage: Eukaryota; Metazoa; Chordata; Mammalia; Primates; Hominidae. The record is from RNAcentral.
GAAGUCGCCGCCCGCGUCUGUCCAAACUUAGUCCCAAACUCAGGAGGUUCCUGUCCCAAGAAGCAAUGUAAAGUUUGAAACGAGCCGAGCGCGGUGGCUCACGCCUGUAAUCCCAGCACUUUGGGAGGCCGAGGCUGGCGAAUCAUUUGAGGUCAGGAGUUCGAGACCAACCUGGGCAACAUGGGGAAACGCCGUCUAUACUAAAAAUACAAAAAUUAGCUGGGCGUGGUGGCGCACGCCUUUAACCCCAGCUACUUGGUGAGGCUGAGGCAGGAGAAUCGCUUGAUCCGGGGAGACGGAGGUUGCAGUGAGCCGAGAUUGUGUCACUGCACUCCAGCCUGGGUGACAGAGUGACACUCCAUCUCAAAAAAAAAAAUUUUGAAACGGCCGCACCCUCGCCGGCCCUGCGUCGUCCCCGAAAACCAGACGCCCUGGGGCGCGGGGCCAAGUGCGGCGACCUCCUGCCCUCCCUCUGCGGCUCCCUGGAAACCGGCCUGGACAACGGCACCUGGGCAUCCAUGCAACGGGACCACCGCCCGCUUAAAUUCCUGUUGUGGAACAAGGCUGGACGGUGAUGGGAAUGCUCAGGAUAUGUUAGGUUUUCUUUUUUUUUUGAGACGGAGUCUCGCUCUGUCGCCCAGGCUGGAGUGCAGUGGUGCGAUCUCGGCUCACUGCAAGCUCCGCCUCCCGGGUUCACGCCAUUCUCCUGUCUCAGCCUCCCGAGUAGCUGGGACUACAGGCGCCCGCCACUGCGCCCGUCUUAUUUUUUUGUAUUUUUAGUAGAGACGGGGUUUCACCGUGUUAGCCGGGAUCCAUCUCCUGACUUCGUGAUCCGCCCGCUUCGGCCUCCCAAAGUGCUGAGAUUACAGACGUGAGCCACCGCGCCCUGCCUAUAUUAGGUUUUUAAAUAGCAGGAGGCAAAGCUUUUCGGUGUGAUCCUGACUUCACUUGGGGAAAAAGGGCAGGUAUCUGAGCCUGGGAAAAUGAUCAAGCUAUCAGCCAAAAUGGUAUAACGCCGACUAUAUAUGUACCUUUUUUUUUUCUUUUUUUCUUUUUUAGACACAGGGUCUCACUGUGUUGGCCAGGCUGGAGUGCGGCAGUCUGGAACUCCUGGGCCCAAGUGAUCCUCCAAUCAGCCUCACAAAGCACUGGAAUUACAGAUGGAGUUUUGCUCUUGUUGCCCAGGCUGGAGUACAAUGGCGCAAUCUCGGCUCACUGCAACCUCCGCCUCCGGGUUCAAGUGAUUCUCCUGCCUCAGCCUCCUGAGUAGCUGGGAUUACAGGAGCCUACUACCACGGCCAGCUAAUUUUUUUGUAUUUUUAGUAGAGACGGGGCUUUACCAUGUUGGCCAGGCUGGUUUCAAACUCCUGACCUCAGGUGAUCCACCCGCCUCGGCCUCCCAAACUGCUGGGAUUAUAGGCAUGAGCCACCGUGCCCGGCCCAUAGAUUACUUUUAUAAUCAAGUUUUUCUUUACUUUUUAAAGAGUAAAUUCUCUCACCUCAGGUAGCUCAGAGAGCUGCGCUGGAGGAGAAAAGCCAGUAAGUGAACAACUGGAAUAAACUGGGAAGCUGGAUGGAGAGCCUGGGCCAGAAUCCCGGACCCCUCACCUCUGCGGCCUAGCUUUGUGACCUUGGCAAAUCCAUUCUAUGCACCUCCAUUUCCUGUACAGUGGGGAUCCUUAUUUCUCUGGCACAGAUUGGUAUUUGUUCUGUAAAGCCCAGUACCACUUUAUUUUAUUUUAGUUAUUGAUUUUUUUGAGACAGGGCCUCACUCUGUUGCCAAGGCUGGAAUGCAGUGGCGAGAUCAUAGCUCACUGCAGCCUCAAACUCCUGGGCUCAGGCCAUCCUCCUGCCUCGGCCUCCUGAGUAGCUGGGACGACAGGCGUGCACCACUGCGCCUAGCUCCAGUACCAUGUUUAAACGGUGCUCAGAAAACGUGCUAAACUUGGUGGAUGGGAAUUGAAAAGAGAUUUAAUGUUUUAAAAAUCAAAGUCACUCAGCUGCAGUGCCACAUGGGAAGGAGGCCUGGAUGUGAAUGUUCCUGGGAGCUGAGAGCUCCUGUGACUGUCGCCAGUUUCCUGUGGUCUCCCACAGACUCAGGACAUCUCCCUCUGCUCCAGGACACCUCAGGACCACCAGAGGGCACUCAUCGCACCUUCACCCCUGGAAGGGAGCUGGUCCUGGGGCCAAAACCCACUGUGCCUGGGAAGCCCUUCCUGGCUUCUGCUCUCCUCAAUGUAUGACAGCCCUGAUUUACCCCCAGGGACUGUUGCCACUCGGGGUUGUAGAGUAAUAUGUAACCAGACUGGAGAACCACAGCAAUGCUCUCUCCUCUGCCCAUCACCUCCCCUUGGCCCCUCCCUCUUCAUCAGCCCCAUUUUGGAGAAGGGAGAAAGAAGGGAGAGGCAGCAGUCUCCUCCCAGGUGGGGCCGGACUCCAGGGAAGGAGAAUUUUCAGAAGUUGCUGGAGUUGCCGAAUCUGUCAGGGCCCAGGGUUCACAGAGCAGUGAUGGAGGAGAAAGGAGAGGAAGCAGAUCUAAGCACACAUGGGCAUCAAACCAGAGGAACAAAGUCACAUGCAGAGGGCUGCACAUAGACACAGGGAAACACACACACGGAGAUGCACAGAAACACGCAGACCCCAUGCAGGGACCUGCUUUCCCGCCACAGAGGAAAGCAAUCUGAUCAAACAGACCCACUGUGCACCCAGCCCUCCAUGCUUGGGGACAACACACCUACAAAAAUAUAAGAAAAAAAAGGAAAACUGCUCUGCCUGGGAUGCCUUGCUUGACUUUUCUUGUAAAUAAGCAUUUGAAUGUGUUUUGUUCUAGGAGCUUUCGAGGCAGGCACAAAGGGAGCCCUUUCUCAUGCAGGAAGGUCCCUCUGCAACCUCCCCCUUCCCUCCCCUUCCUGCCAUCCGCCUACAGGCUGAGGUGGCUUUAUUUCUGGGACCCGAGUGUGGAUACCUCCUGUUUUAGAGAACCCUGAGAACCACUGUGCUAUUUCCAAGUUAAACUCCAGGCCGAGAUGAAAUUAGGCUUCUUUUUCUUUCUCUUUUUUUUUUUUUUUUUUGAGAUGGAGUCUCACUCUGUUGCCCAGGCUGGAAUGCAGUGGCACGAUCCCAGCUCACUGCAACCUCUGCCUCCUGGGUUCAAGCGAUUCUCCUGCCUCACCCUCCCGAGUAGUUGGGAUUACAGGCACCUGCCACCACACCCAGCUAAUUUUUGUAUUUUUAGUAGAGACGGGGUUUCACCAUGUUGGCCAGGCUGGUCUCGAACACCUGACCGCGUGAUCCGCUGGCCUCGGCCUCCCAAAGUGCUGAGAUUACAGGAGUGAGCCACCAUGCCUGGCCAGAUUGGUGAUUUUUUUUAAUCACCUGCAGCUCCCAGUCAUUCACAGGCCUCUGCCCCAUCCCCUGUCCAUAUGGAAGCUGAGAGGGCCGCAGGGAGGGGCCUGUCCAGUGUGGCCGCAGCUCUUCCCAGGAGGGAAUCCCUGUCAUCCAAAAGUUUUCUUUCCCCUCCUCUGGCCAUUCCAGGCUAAAGGAAUGAAAGCUCCCUCUCUCUAGGCUGGAAAACAGGUAAACGAUAUGUAAUUUAUGAGCACCAUCAGCCCAAAGUGCACAAGUCAUAUAUGCACAAAGGGG